This 349-nucleotide long non-coding RNA is filed under the name Salvia miltiorrhiza (redroot sage). RNAcentral describes it as "long non-coding RNA (SMIL_LNC002752)". The record is from RNAcentral. Lineage: Eukaryota; Viridiplantae; Streptophyta; Magnoliopsida; Lamiales; Lamiaceae.
UCUCUCUCUACAACCUUCCUUCUUCUUCAUAAUAUCUCUGCAAUUUCCAGUUUAUUUACAAAGAAAAUCACAAAAAAUAGUUGGGUUCACUACAAUAGGAUACUUGCAAGGGGAAGAAACAACCUUAAUUUGACAAUUAAUGAACAAAAGAGAGUGAAUCUACCUAUAAUAUUUAGGAGAGAAGAAAUUAUACAAGAAAAUGCUUCAAACAACAGUCCUAUACACUGAAACAUCUAAGAACUUUAAUUUUUUCAAAUUAAAUAUUUAACUUAUAUUGUUGCCUUACCCUGUUGAGUUCCUACUCAGUUGAUCAUCCUCUGUUAAUAACAGCUUAUNGUGGGACAUUCUU